Molecule: ribosomal RNA, 560 nt
Filed under: Trichoderma koningiopsis
Lineage: Eukaryota; Fungi; Ascomycota; Sordariomycetes; Hypocreales; Hypocreaceae
Description: eukaryotic LSU rRNA
Rfam family: 5.8S ribosomal RNA (bases 212-365)
Source: RNAcentral
CGUUGGUGAACCCGGGAGGGAUCAUUACCGAGUUUACAACUCCCAAACCCAAUGUGAACCAUACCAAACUGUUGCCUCGGCGGGGUCACGCCCCGGGUGCGUCGCAGCCCCGGAACCAGGCGCCCGCCGGAGGGACCAACCAAACUCUUUCUGUAGUCCCCUCGCGGACGUUAUUUCUUACAGCUCUGAGCAAAAAUUCAAAAUGAAUCAAAACUUUCAACAACGGAUCUCUUGGUUCUGGCAUCGAUGAAGAACGCAGCGAAAUGCGAUAAGUAAUGUGAAUUGCAGAAUUCAGUGAAUCAUCGAAUCUUUGAACGCACAUUGCGCCCGCCAGUAUUCUGGCGGGCAUGCCUGUCCGAGCGUCAUUUCAACCCUCGAACCCCUCCGGGGGGUCGGCGUUGGGGAUCGGGAACCCCUAAGACGGGAUCCCGGCCCCGAAAUACAGUGGCGGUCUCGCCGCAGCCUCUCCUGCGCAGUAGUUUGCACAACUCGCACCGGGAGCGCGGCGCGUCCACGUCCGUAAAACACCCAACUUCUGAAAUGUUGACCUCGGAUCAGGA